AGGUGUUCUGGGACUACAACUCCCAUCAUCCCUUGCUAGCUGGGGGGAUGGGAGUUGUAGUCCCAGAACACCU
Molecule: non-coding RNA, 73 nt
Organism: Podarcis lilfordi (Lilford's wall lizard)
Lineage: Eukaryota; Metazoa; Chordata; Lepidosauria; Squamata; Lacertidae
Source: the annotation of a GenBank genome assembly